This 403-nucleotide ribosomal RNA is filed under the name uncultured bacterium. RNAcentral describes it as "partial 16S ribosomal RNA". It matches the Rfam family "Bacterial small subunit ribosomal RNA", at positions 28 to 526 of the family's 1533-position model. The record is from RNAcentral.
GACGAACGCUGGCGGCGUGCCUAAUACAUGCAAGUCGAACGCAGUGGGGACGGUUUAGUAACACGUGGGUAACCUCCCAUCAGAGGGGAUAACCAUUGGCAACAGGUGCUAAACCGAUACUGAUGGAUGGACCCGCGGUGCAUUAGCUAGUUGGUGGGGUAACGGCUCACCAAGGCCACGAUGCAUAGCCGACCUGAGAGGGUGAGCGGCCAAACUGGGACUGAGACACGGCCCAGACUCCUACGGGAGGCAGCAGUAGGGAAUCUUGGGCAAUGGGCGAAAGUCUGAUCGAGCCACGCCGCGUGAGUGAAGAAGGUUUUCGGAUCGUAAAACUCUGUUGGUAGAGAAGCGGUAUCUAACGAAAAAGCCACGGCUAACUACGUGCCAGCAGCCGCGGUAAUAC